UUUAAUAGAGACGAGGUUUCACCAUGUUGGCCAGGAUGGUCUCAAUCUCUUGACCUUGUGAUCUGCUCGCCUUGGCCUCCCAAAGUGUUGAGAUUACAGGCUUGAGCCAUUCAACAACUAUUAAUUGCAUGCCAUCUCCAGGCCUGGAAUUAAGCUGGGUAUAAAGAACACAAUGACUAAGUCCCUGCCUUGGGCAAGUUGAGGAAGAAGGAAGAGCCUCCUUGUUCUACAGAUGGGAAAACUGGUCCAAAGGGAGUAAGCAGCUGCCCUCAAUAACUAGGUGAAUCUGGCAGAACUGAUCCAAGCAUCAGCCCAGCCUCUAAACUUGGCCAUUUGAUGAACUAGAUCUAAGCACAGUUUGCAGUUCUUGCCGUGAAUCACGUAAAUGUCACUCUACCAGAAAAUGGAACUUAAGAACCAGCAUUUGUUCCUGGAGACCUGAGUUCCAACUCUAUCUCUGCCACUAAAUAGCUUUAGUUUUCUUACUAGGUGGGAAAAAUGGAAAUAACUGCUUAUUCAAAGGGCUAUUCGUUGGCAUUAAAUCAGGCAAUGGAUGCGAAUUUGCUCUGAAAGCUUAACUUGCUAUAUAUGAGUGUGUGCUGUUACUAUGCAGGUGGCAUGCCUUUUCUAACCUAUAAGCUGUAUUCAGGCCUCUCCCCCUCCUUCCCCCAGCUUAUCCCAAGCCUGGUUACUAGGUGCCCAGAAGCUAACUGUAAUUCUGCUCCCCUCAGGUUAGGCCACAAUGUGCUUACUCAUGAUGAUCUUUUCCCUCCAGUUUCUUAACAGCACGGCCAGAAGCUUAGCUCACUGCCUAGAAGCCAUAUCAUCUUUGGGGCAGGAGGGAAGAAUUCCGGUGACUUUCUUCUUCUCUUCUCUUCUUUCUCUCUCUCUCUUUUCUUUCUUUUUCUUUCUCUUUUCUUCCUUCUUUCCUUUCUUUCUUCCUUCCUUUCUCUCUCUCUUUUCUUUUUUCUUUUCUUUCCAUCUUUCCUUUCCCUCUCCUCUCCUAUCCUCUCCUCUCUCCUCUCCUUGUGCUUUUUUGACCCCAGGCACCCCUUUGGUGCAACUACAGCACAUUAUGAGCAGCUCAGCAAGAGGCAGUAGGAUGGGGACACCUUCCUGCUGUCCUUCCUGAGCACAGUCUGGCUAAAAACCUGGAGGUCACAACAGUACAAAGAAUUAUAGUCAAGAUCUUGUGCCAGAGAGCAAAUGAACUCUUCCUCUUGCUCAGAAAACCCACCCUGCUCACCUAAACCCUGGCCUUGCCUGGUAAUUACAUCCAUGCGCCUGGCGGGCCCCAGACAUCAAGGGUCUGAGGGGCCAGGCACGGGGAGAACCCAGCAGUGUCCUGCCCUUCUGUCUGAGCUACCAGAUUCCUUGUGGAGAUAAUUUGAGGACCAUGACUCACCCAACCAAAUUUCCUGGGGCCUCAAAUUGAAAAUUCAGGAUGGGUUUUUCUAUAUGACUGCCUGAUAUGCAACUAUGCCAUGGUCUUUACAGGCCAUGAACAUUCUUUCCUGCCAGAGUUCUAAGCAUCUGUGUUCUCUGCCUCAGACCUUCUGCAGAUGAGCCCACAGGAAGCUCCCACGUGUAGCUGAGCUGCAUGCACCAGGCCUCAGUUUGCCCCAAGUCCCCUGUGUACUCUCUCACUUUGGACUCAGGAGUGCAAAGAGAAGCCCAGAAACUUGAAUUGCUUGAACUUGAAUUUUGUGUGUGUGUGCCUGCACGCAUGUGCACGUGGUGGUGGAUGUGUAUGUUUUCAGCUGUUCUAUGUGUUACUGUAACAGAACUCCCAAAUAAUAGUAACAUUUGUUUUAGAUGAUGUCUGCUGACAAGUCACAAACAUGAUACUAACUCGCAACUCUCUGCUCCACUGGCACAGAAUAGAGCAUGGAGCCUGGUGCUGGGUGUCAGCCUGUGGUGUUGGGUGUCAGUUAACAGGCUGGGUAAGGCAGGAAAAAUAAUCCAUUCUUUGAUAUUAGACAUGACCCAGAAUUUCCUGCUGGCAGCCAAAGGGCCUCCUCGCUCAGAGAAGUGAUCUGAAGAAAGCUAGGCCAGGGGCAGGAGAGGGCCUCAGGCUGGCGCCCCAGAAGGUGGCCCAUCAGUCACUCUGGGAAGACAGAUAGACAUCGUCAGUCUCUUUUUACAAGUCAAGAGAGUAAAAUCAAAGUAAUAGUUUCCUGGCAGGAAGAAAGAGAAUUGCUGGGGCAUUGGAGACUCAGCUCUUAACCUCUGGGGUGACUCAAAAGAAGAGUUGCCUGGUCUGAGAACUUUAGACCAAAGAACUUAAAUCAUAUGAACUGAACAUGCAUGUGUAUCCAUAUACAUAUGUACAGAUAUGUUUAUAUACCCAAUACAGAAAGGUCACCAGAGACAAAGAAAUAGCAACAAUAGUUGUUUUGGGGAAGGGAAAGGAAGGGCUGUGAGGUGAGGGAGCAUACUUUCACUGAAUAUCCUCUGUACUGUGUGCAUUUUUGCCACAUGCAUAAACUAAACCUACAAGAAAAUAAACAA
Long non-coding RNA from Piliocolobus tephrosceles (Ugandan red Colobus), 2511 nucleotides. RefSeq lists it as uncharacterized. The transcript is spliced from 2 exons. Lineage: Eukaryota; Metazoa; Chordata; Mammalia; Primates; Cercopithecidae. The record is from RefSeq and is a predicted model, not a curated record.